GACGAACGCUGGCGGCGUGCUUAACACAUGCAAGUCGAACGGAAAGGCCCUGCUUUUGUGGGGUGCUCGAGUGGCGAACGGGUGAGUAACACGUGAGUAACCUGCCCUUGACUUUGGGAUAACUUCAGGAAACUGGGGCUAAUACCGGAUAGGAGCUCCUGCUGCAUGGUGGGGGUUGGAAAGUUUCGGCGGUUGGGGAUGGACUCGCGGCUUAUCAGCUUGUUGGUGGGGUAGUGGCUUACCAAGGCUUUGACGGGUAGCCGGCCUGAGAGGGUGACCGGCCACAUUGGGACUGAGAUACGGCCCAGACCCCUACGGGAGGCAGCAGUGGAGAAUAUUGCACAAUGGGAGGAAGCCUGAUGCAGCAACGCCGCGUGCGGGAUGACGGCCUUCGGGUUGUAAACCGCUUUCGCCUGUGACGAAGCGUGAGUGACGGUAAUGGGUAAAGAAGCACCGGCUAACUACGUG
This 468-nucleotide ribosomal RNA is filed under the name uncultured bacterium. RNAcentral describes it as "partial 16S ribosomal RNA". It matches the Rfam family "Bacterial small subunit ribosomal RNA", at positions 28 to 507 of the family's 1533-position model. The record is from RNAcentral.